GGAGGUGGACAGGGGAUCGCCGGUGAGAGUCCCUCUCACGGGAGGAAAGUCCGGGCUCCAUGGGUCGGGGAGGUCGUUAACGGCGACCCGGGGCGACUCGAGGGAAAGUGCCGCAGAAACCACACCGCCGAUGGCCGACGAAGCGGUCGGUCCGAGAGGAACCGACGGUGGAGGCACAGGCAAGGGUGAAAUCGUGGGGUAAGAGCCCACGCGCGACGGCCGGGCAACCGGCGGCGGGGCAAACCCCUCCCGGAGCAAGCUCGAAUAGGGACGGCGUUUCGGUUGGCUCAGCCGAGCAAGCCCUCGGGUUUCCGCCGUCCGGGUGAGAGCGCUUGAGCGGCGCAGCAAUGCGUCGCCUAGAUGAAUGGUCCCCGCCCGCCGCGAGGCGGCGGGAACAGAACCCGGCUUAUCGUCCACCCGGAGCU
RNAcentral lists this RNase P RNA (425 nucleotides) under Myxococcales bacterium. RNAcentral's name for it is "RNase P RNA component class A". It matches the Rfam family "Bacterial RNase P class A". From Rfam's summary of the family: Ribonuclease P (RNase P) is a ubiquitous endoribonuclease, found in archaea, bacteria and eukarya as well as chloroplasts and mitochondria. The record is from RNAcentral. Lineage: Bacteria; Pseudomonadati; Myxococcota; Myxococcia; Myxococcales.